Long non-coding RNA from Equus caballus (horse), 2570 nucleotides. The record is from Ensembl. Lineage: Eukaryota; Metazoa; Chordata; Mammalia; Perissodactyla; Equidae.
CAACAGGGGACCAGUCAAAUAGGUGCACGUCUGCCACAGACCACUACACAGCUUUGAAAAUAUCAAGGCAGCUCGUUAUGUACUGGUAUGGAAUUCUCUCCAGGACAUAUUAUUAAACAAAAGAAGCAAGGAGCAUAACGAUGAAACUCAGUGAAUCUUCAUUGACACGAGCAUCAUCAUCCUCAUCCCCAUCUUCCAGAUGAGAAGACUGAGGCACAGCGCAGGUAAUUAAUUUACCCAAGGUCACAGAGCCUGGAUUCAGAGACAGGCAGUCUGACCCAGCGCCCCAACCCUGAACCUUUCCUUCCGUGAAGGAGUUUUCCGGAGGUCACUUACGUUGGCAUCUGGCGGUCUGACCGUGGGCAUAUUGACCCCAUGCUUCGAGUUACAGAGCCUCAGUUUCCCCACCUGUAAAGCGAGGAUCAUCCUAGCAGUACCCUCCUUUCAGGGCUGUUUUGAGGCUCACUAAUGAGGCGUUGAAAGCCCUGUUGACUCCCGUGAAGACCAUCACUGUUAAUCUGAUUAUCACGCCCGUCAUCACCCAGGACUAUUGAACAAGGUUCAGAAAACCCCAGUCCUGAGCAAGAAGGAGUCAAAUCUCUCUUUUUAGCAGUUUGCGCAUAUCGCUCAUCUGCAACAUGUAACCUAAAUAUCUUGCCCUUUUCCUGUUUCCGUCAACCCCUGUUAGAAGUCAGACAGGGCUGGUAUAGAAAACGUGCAGAUCUUGCUCACGAUUAAAACCACUCUUUCUUUUAAAGACACCAAGAAUCUUGAUUUCUGCUGAGAGAGUCUCACAAAAGAGAAACCCACACGGGGCCCUACCUCCAGCCUGGUGGCAGAGGCACAGAUGAAAUUUGUCUUUCCAGGUCACUUCCAUUUCUGCGUCCCUGGAAGGUUAAUUCAAUUCAACAGUUAUUUAGUAAGCAUUUACGCUAUUCGAGGCCCCUGCUGGGGACUGGGAAGAUGGCACUGAACAAGACAGACAAAAAUCCCCAUCUCAUGGAGCUGACAUUCUAGAGGAGGAAACAGACAAUGAACAAGUGAAGAGAUCAUCUCAUGCCAAAUGUCAAGAAACGCCAUGAAGAAAAAUAAAACAGAUUUCAGGUACAACACAACGAUUCGAUAUUUGUAAAUCUUGAGAAACGAUCGCCACGGAGACACCCCCUGGAAGGCCCUCCCGCGGGCCUGUUCCGGAGCCACCCUUCAGGAGGACCUUCCAGACAGAAACCAAGAUGCCCGCUUCACCCCCGUUAGGACGGCUGCUGUCAGAAAACCAGAAAAUAACAAGUAUUGGGGAGGAUGUGGAGAAACUGGGACCUCUGUGCUCUGUUGCUGGGAAUGUAAUGGUGCAGCCACUGGAAAACAGUAUGACAUUUCCCCUAAAAAUUAAAAAUGGAAUUACCGUAUAAUCCAGCAAUUCCGCUGUGGGUAUACACCCCAAAGAAGUGAAAGCAGGGGCUCAGCCAGUUAUUUAUACACCUUUGUUCACAGCAGCGCUGUUCACAACGGCCAAAAGGUAGAAGCAACCCAGGUGCCCAUCGACUGAUGAGUGGAUAAAUACAACGUGGUAUAAGCAUACGACAGAAUAUCAUUCAGCCUUAAAAAGGAAGGAAAUUCUGACACAAGCUACAAUGUGAAUGAACCUUGAGGACAUUAUGCUGAGUGAAACAAGCCAGUCUCAAAAGGAUCAAUACUGUAUGAUUCCACUUAUGUGAGGCCCCUCGAGCAGCCAAAUGCACAGAGACAGAAAGUUGAAGGGUGGCUGCCAGCGGCUGGGGAGAGAGGGGAGUGGGAGUUAUUAUUUCAUGGGCACGGAGUUCCAGUUUUGCCAGCUGAAAAGAGUUCUGGAGACGGAUGGUGGGGAUGGUUGCACAGCAAAAUGAAUGUAUUUAAUAGCACCGAACUGUGCACUUAACAAUGGUUAAGAUAUUAGGUGUAUUUUGCCACGAUUAAAAAUUGAAAACAAAAAAAGGAAAAGAUGCCCCCGCCUCUUCUCUGGGGCCCAGAAAGGAGGUCUCAUUUAAUGACAGGAAGGACCCCCAGCAGUCCUGGGGCCCCCUCCAAUUCCCUCUGGACAUUAACAGUCUGAGGCAGGCCUCUGUGACCCUAAGAGAAGCCAUCUGAGACUUUAGUGUUGCCCUUUGGCCCCAGAACAGCAUCUCAAUGAAAGGACGUUGAGAGAAAUAGAGUUGGAGUUCUCAUAUUGUCUUUGGGUGACCUUGGACAAUUCACUGUAUCUCCUUGGGCCUCAGUUUCCUCAUCUUACCAAGUGAGGGGGUUGGACUUCAGAAGUUGCCCAGGAAUCCUGUCUGGCUCCCAGAAGUGUCUUGUCUGUCUGUAAUAAGAUUUAAAAUUGGGACGGUCAGCCACCCAGGGCUCUGUUCCUCCGUGGUCACCACCGUUGAAGGUGGCCCCCCUGGAUGGAGCCAGUGCUGCCCAGUUCAGGCAGUGCCCCCCAUGGGCCUGACCCUCCCUGCCAGGGCCCCGGAGGUGCUUGAGUUUGCAAAGCCUGGACAAGAGGACACCAAGGAGCCUCUGACUUCAGUGAUGGCUUCGUUAGGCUUUCCGAG